CAAAUUCUCGGCUCUGCUUCUGUCUUUACCAACAUCGGCUCUUGCAGACUACAAGGUGGUUUUCGGUUCAAUUUGCGAUCUAUGUUUUUCAGAAGAAGAAGAGGGAGACGGGAAGAAGUUGAUUCUCGAUUUGAACAGAAAUUGAGUGAACUGAUGUUAUUCUACGAUGGCUUCGAAUUUGUUUCGUUUAUUUUUUUCCGGUCUCUCAGCUUUUACGACCAUCAUACUUCCCCGUUUUGGUUUUUCCUCUUCAAGAAUCAAUCCAAGUAGUUUUCAAUUGACCUGGGUUGGAUUUUGUAGGGGUAUUGUUCGUGCUCCAGUUUGGGGUUUGAGUGAUUGAUUGGAGGAGGUUAAAGACAUAAAAAUACAAGCCUGGAAAAUGAAUACAAGAGUCAGGACAAAGCUGCAGUCCAUGAUAUCUCCAACCAAGAAGAAUGAAAAAAUUGUCCCCUUUGAUCAUACCAAAAAGAAGAAGAUGGUGAUUCGGGCCUUCAAAACGAUCCUGUGGAUAAGUUGGCUGACAAAACAAAAUACCUGGCAGAGAAGAAGCCAUGAACAUUUUCAAAGCUAAAUGUAACAACUAAUGUAAAUCAUAUGCAUACCUUGAAGCUUUCAAAACAUGUUUGCAUCUUUGGUGGACAAAGAAAAUGAUUGAUCAUGGGGAAUGGUAUGAUCGCUUUCAAAGUGAAGGGUCUGCUCUGACUUGAUCUGAGUUGUUUCCUUUUACUUAUUUUGACUCAAUUCGUGCUUCUAAUUUGAACAGUUCACUCUUCGCAGUAUAAUACUAUGAUAUGUGACAGAGAAGCAGAGAGAGGGAGAUAAGAGUUGCAACAUGCCUGUAGAUACAAGUCUGAAAGCAUGGGGUUCUAUUGUUCCACCAUCCUGUAGAUACAAGUCUGAAAGCAGACCGGGAACAAUCUAGAUAAACUCAAGUAAUGAUUCUCAAGAGUAGAGGAGGAAAAUCAGAAAGUUCAAGACCAGCAGCUAAAGUGGGUGAACACGCAGUUCAGGCAUCUAGAAGAAGCACAUGAGAAGCUCUGAGAUAAGUUCAAGAAAAGUAAGAAGGAACGGGAAAGGCACAAGUAAUCAUUGCUUGAUGAGAAUUGUUUGCUCAAUACAAACUUGGAGUCUCUAUAUAUGGCUGCUUUUCUUUCAGUGUUAUUUGAUUUUAAGUAUGAUUUCUUAGUGCUUAUAUAUGGAUAGCAUUCAAAAUCAACACUUCGCUAUUGAUUAAUAAUCAAUCAGGUGCGAUUCAAUGUUUUCCAAGAUUAAGUAUAUAGAUUCAGCUAAUCAAUUUGGUCCA
Long non-coding RNA from Rosa rugosa (rugosa rose), 1303 nucleotides. RefSeq lists it as uncharacterized. The transcript has 5 exons. The record is from RefSeq and is a predicted model, not a curated record. NCBI's taxonomy places the organism in Eukaryota, Viridiplantae, Streptophyta, Magnoliopsida, Rosales, Rosaceae.